RNAcentral lists this long non-coding RNA (368 nucleotides) under Carica papaya (papaya). Its description in RNAcentral is "long non-coding RNA (CPAP_LNC015648)". The record is from RNAcentral. Lineage: Eukaryota; Viridiplantae; Streptophyta; Magnoliopsida; Brassicales; Caricaceae.
GAAAGUCUUGCAAAGGGAUUUCGCUCGGGUUGGUCAACCUCUGAAUGUUGACUUUUUACGAGUUCUGAGUCUUGUUUUUUCGUUUUUGGCCGGAAGUACAGAUUUAGGAAGGAGAUUUUACAAGAUAGGUUUUGUAAUUGUAGAAAGUUUUGUGAUUGUGAGUGUAAAUUUGAAUAAGUAGACGUCAAUGGAGUUUGAUCUUUUUGAUUCUUCGAGUUUUGGGUUUUCUCUGUUUGUGAUUUUUAAAACUUCGUAUAUGAUUGAUUCUUUCCCUGUUAAAUAUGAAGAGGGUGGAAGCCUUUUCUCUCCCUUGAAUUUUAGAAUGUGUUAUUGAUAUACUGAAUUUAGUGGUCUUAGUAAAUAAAAAU